GAGCCCAACGCGGGGCUCAAUCCCCUGAACCAUGAGACCAUGACCUGAGCGGAAACCAAGAGUUUGGAUGCUUAAGCGACUGAGCCACCCAGGUGCCCAAAGUCUAUGUUUGAUUUUAAGACCAAGAGUUGAUUCUCUGAAAAUCAAAUAGAAUAGACAAACAUUUGCCCACUCAGAUAAAGGGGAAAAAGAGAGAGAUGUGUGCAUGUAGAUAUGGCUCUAUGACAUAGGCAGGGAGACAGAAGUCUGAUGUAUACAGUCACAGCAAUGAACUACAGGGAAUAGAAAAUGAGAAUAUCAAUAUUCAGAUGAGGAUUGGAAAAGAUAGCCAGGCCACUAAAUAAGGCACAAAGCUCUAGUGGCAUUUCCACCUAACUUUCAUUAAAUACAUGAUUACUAUAUUAAUUAAACCAUUCUACUUUAUUUUCAAGUUCCAUAUAACUCUCAUGCCAAAACCUGAUAAACAGAGCCCUUGAGAAAGGUAAACCAGUUUUAUUGAUUAGUACAGAUAGAAAAAUUCUAAAUGAAGUGUAAUCAAAUUGCAUCCAGCUAAGUUUUAAACGAUUAUUACACUAUGAAUGAGAGUGGUUUUCCCAGGGAUUUCACAGUGCUGUGCUGGAGCUGUCUAGUCCUGGAUUGUGAGAGCCACUUGUGCACGUCUGUUCCCAACUCUGCAUUCAAUGCCAUUAAAUCAUCGGCUUGAAAUCAGGUCUGAUUGGACUGUUACAAAUCAGGUAUGAUAAUGAGUAUUUAUAGCAUGGAAAUGAGCAAACGCUACAAAUCAACACCUUUCCCCCCUAACUGUUCCCCAUUUUGCUUCUGAGCCAAGUGAUAAACAUUUGCCAGCACACCACUGGAUGUUAACUGUAUUUUGACAAUAGGAAAGAGAAGAAAUGUGAUCAUACCAAAGAUGCUGAAAAAGCAUUUGAUGAAAUUGUGCAGCCAUUGCAAAUAAAAAGGAGUGGAAGGAAAUUUUUAAAUGUGGUAGAAAGUAUUUGUUUGAGGGGUGGCUGGGUUGCUCAGUCGGUUAAAGUGACUGUCUCUUGAUAUUGGCUCUGGUUGUGAUCUUGCAGAGCGUGGAGCCUGCUUGGGGUCCUCUCUCUCCCUCUCUCUCUGCCCCUACUCUGCUUGUGCGCUCCUCUCUCUCUCAAAAUAAAUAAAUAAAUAAACAUUAAAAAAAGUAUUUGUUUGAAACAGUGAACAUUAUGUUAAAGAGUGAAAUAUGGGAUCUAUUCACAGUAAAGUCAAGAAAAGAUGGGCUUAUUUGUUUUACAUAUAUGUCUAUAUAUGUGUCUCUCUGUGUGUGUUUAUGUAUAUUAAUCACAAAAGCAUUUAGGGUAAUUGCUACUUCUGUUUACCAGGUCCUGCCAGCAUAACGUCAUCAAUGUAAUGGGCCAGUGUGGUGUUCUGUGGGGUGUCAACACGUUUGGAGUCCCUUGGGUGUAUAUUAUAACAAAGAACAGGAGCCGGCAUUGUCCUGAGACAUAAACAGUAAAGUUAAUACUCCCGAUCCUACGUUGAAUGGCUGGAUCUUAAAGAAGAGAGCACAGGCUAUGCAAGCAUUAGAAGGAAUUGUGGCAUCAGCGCCCUGAUAAGCAAGUCCAACUUAACUUCUCACAGAUGCCUGGCACACUCAGAUUGGACUGUAAUGACACUUGAGCUUCAUAACUAACUGUCUCCUUCACAUCACGUAGCAGUAAGUACAGGAGAAGAAGAAGGAGGGCUGCAGGACAGAGAGUGGCACAGUCUUCAGAAGCUAUAGCACUAUCUGCGCCCUGAUUAGAAGAUACUUUCAAUUGAAGACACUUUAGUUUUACUCUUUGUGUCGGGGCAUAAACAACUUGAACACCUGCCCACUGAAAUGAAUAGAAUGAAUGUUUUCAUUGCUCCCCAUGCUGAGCAGAUACCAUCGGAUCUUUUGAUCCUGAGCCACUACCAAGC
Long non-coding RNA from Herpailurus yagouaroundi (jaguarundi), 1941 nucleotides. RefSeq lists it as uncharacterized. The record is from RefSeq and is a predicted model, not a curated record. NCBI's taxonomy places the organism in Eukaryota, Metazoa, Chordata, Mammalia, Carnivora, Felidae. The transcript has 4 exons.